This 253-nucleotide ribosomal RNA is filed under the name uncultured bacterium. Its description in RNAcentral is "partial 16S ribosomal RNA". It matches the Rfam family "Bacterial small subunit ribosomal RNA", at positions 524 to 776 of the family's 1533-position model. The record is from RNAcentral.
UACGUAGGUGGCAAGCGUUGUCCGGAAUUAUUGGGCGUAAAGCGCGCGCAGGCGGCCUUUUAAGUCUGAUGUGAAAGCCCCCGGCUCAACCGGGGAGGGUCAUUGGAAACUGGAAGGCUUGAGUGCAGAAGAGAAGAGCGGAAUUCCACGUGUAGCGGUGAAAUGCGUAGAGAUGUGGAGGAACACCAGUGGCGAAGGCGGCUCUCUGGGACGGUACUGACGCUGAGACGCGAAAGCGUGGGGAGCGAACAGG